AAUGAACGCUGGCGGCAUGCCUAACACAUGCAAGUCGAACGGCAGCACAGGGAGAUUUUGCUCUUGCGGGUGGCGGGGGGCGGACGAGUAACGAAUGCAUCGGAAACCUCUUUGUCGUGGGUGAUAACGGAGGGAAACUUAUGCUAAUACCGCAUAUAACGUACCGGUGAGAUCAGGGGUUCGUCAGACUUUUCGUGACUGUAUGAGCCGGUUUCGGGUCGGAUUAGUUAGUUGGUAAGGUAACGGCUAACCAAGGCGACGAUGCGUAGCCGACCUGAGAGGAUGAUCGGCCACACUGGAACUGAGACACGGUCCAGACUCCUACGGGAGGCAGCAGUAGGGAAUAUUGGGCAAUGGGCGAAAGCCUGAUGAAGCAAUACCGCGUGGGUGAUGAAGGCCUUCGGAUGGUAAAGCUCUGUUGUUGGGAAAGAAGAAAAGCAGGUUAAUCCGUGGCUGUUUUGACGGUACCUAAAGAAUAAGCACCGGCUAACUACGUG
This 497-nucleotide ribosomal RNA is filed under the name uncultured bacterium. Its description in RNAcentral is "partial 16S ribosomal RNA". It matches the Rfam family "Bacterial small subunit ribosomal RNA", at positions 29 to 507 of the family's 1533-position model. The record is from RNAcentral.